Molecule: ribosomal RNA, 254 nt
Filed under: uncultured bacterium
Lineage: Bacteria
Description: partial 16S ribosomal RNA
Rfam family: Bacterial small subunit ribosomal RNA
Source: RNAcentral
UACGGAGGGUGCGAGCGUUGUCCGGAAUCACUGGGCGUAAAGGGCGCGUAGGUGGCUUGGUAAGCGUGCGGUGAAAGCCCGGGGCUCAACCCCGGGUCGGCCGUGCGGACUACCAUGGCUUGAGCACUGUAGAGGCAGGUAGAAUUCCGGGUGUAGCGGUGGAAUGCGUAGAGAUCCGGAAGAAUACCGGUGGCGAAGGCGGCCUGCUGGGCAGUGGCUGACACUGAGGCGCGACAGCGUGGGGAGCAAACAGG